UACCUAUGAUAGCCAAAAUGCCAUGAAG
RNAcentral lists this non-coding RNA (28 nucleotides) under Homo sapiens (human). Lineage: Eukaryota; Metazoa; Chordata; Mammalia; Primates; Hominidae. The record is from RNAcentral.